GCGGAUGUGGCGGAAUUGGCAGACGCACGAGACUCAAAAUCUCGCGGUGGCAACAUCGUGUGGGUUCAAGUCCCACCAUCCGCA
This 84-nucleotide transfer RNA is filed under the name Eubacterium sp. Its description in RNAcentral is "tRNA-Leu". It matches the Rfam family "tRNA". From Rfam's summary of the family: Transfer RNA (tRNA) molecules are approximately 80 nucleotides in length. The record is from RNAcentral. Lineage: Bacteria; Bacillati; Bacillota; Clostridia; Eubacteriales; Eubacteriaceae. RNAcentral also lists the same sequence under 2 other names.